GUCUUCGUUUUGUAGCCAAGGAUGACUUGCCUGCGGCCUGGCAGGAGCUCCAAAAACUGAAAUACCAAUAGAAAAGUAGAGACGACUGACUCUCUUCUGGGAUCAAGAAGGCCAACUGAUGAUUGGUGAGUACCAAAUACUGCACACAAUCAUGAAAAGUGACAAAAGGCUCUUGAAUCCUUGAAUGGUACACAGGCAGUCUCCUUGGCUAACGAGACAGGAUCC
RNAcentral lists this microRNA precursor (225 nucleotides) under Theobroma cacao (cacao). Lineage: Eukaryota; Viridiplantae; Streptophyta; Magnoliopsida; Malvales; Malvaceae. The record is from RNAcentral.